Molecule: transfer RNA, 72 nt
Filed under: Treponema sp.
Lineage: Bacteria; Pseudomonadati; Spirochaetota; Spirochaetia; Treponematales; Treponemataceae
Also listed under: 1 other name
Description: tRNA-Glu
Rfam family: tRNA
About the family: Transfer RNA (tRNA) molecules are approximately 80 nucleotides in length. Their secondary structure includes four short double-helical elements and three loops (D, anti-codon, and T loops).
Source: RNAcentral
GGUUCGUUCGUCUAACGGCAAGGACAACUGGUUUUCAUCCAGUCAACGGGAGUUCAACUCUCCUACGAACCU